This 497-nucleotide ribosomal RNA is filed under the name uncultured bacterium. RNAcentral's name for it is "partial 16S ribosomal RNA". It matches the Rfam family "Bacterial small subunit ribosomal RNA", at positions 28 to 507 of the family's 1533-position model. The record is from RNAcentral.
GAUGAACGCUGGCGGCGUGCCUAAUACAUGCAAGUCGAGCGAACAGACGAGGAGCUUGCUCCUCUGACGUUAGCGGCGGACGGGUGAGUAACACGUGGAUAACCUACCUAUAAGACUGGGAUAACUUCGGGAAACCGGAGCUAAUACCGGCUAAUACAUUGAACCGCAUGGUUCAAUAGUGAAAGACGGUUUUGCUGUCACUUAUAGAUGGAUCCGCGCCGCAUUAGCUAGUUGGUAAGGUAACGGCUUACCAAGGCAACGAUGCGUAGCCGACCUGAGAGGGUGAUCGGCCACACUGGAACUGAGACACGGUCCAGACUCCUACGGGAGGCAGCAGUAGGGAAUCUUCCGCAAUGGGCGAAAGCCUGACGGAGCAACGCCGCGUGAGUGAUGAAGGUCUUCGGAUCGUAAAACUCUGUUAUUAGGGAAGAACAAAUGUGUAAGUAACUAUGCACGUCUUGACGGUACCUAAUCAGAAAGCCACGGCUAACUACGUG